Long non-coding RNA from Hippocampus comes (tiger tail seahorse), 518 nucleotides. RefSeq lists it as uncharacterized. The record is from RefSeq and is a predicted model, not a curated record. Lineage: Eukaryota; Metazoa; Chordata; Actinopteri; Syngnathiformes; Syngnathidae. The transcript is spliced from 3 exons.
UCAAACAGUACAGUAGGUGCAGCUAUUGUCAUACAAAGAAGGCUUUGCUUACUUAUCCACACCAAAAGAAAUGAUUUUUCUCAAAGAGCGAUGGCAGAACAACUGAAAAAGAAAACAUCAGAUUUUGCUGACAAUGUAUCUGAAGAAGUCCUCAAUCAACUUCUGUACCAUCUUCUCGAGGAUGGCAUCUUAAAUGAUGGCGAGGUACAGCACAUAAUUCAGGCGAACCAGACCAGAGCAAACAAGGCACGUGACCUCAUCCGUACAGUGAGGAUGAAAGGUGACGAAUCCAGCUGGAGGAUGAUCAAUUGGAUUAAAAGCAGAGACCCUAAACUUGCAGAGCGUCUGGGUCUGAACUUGAUUGAACCGAUGGACAUGAGAUAAGGAACAAAAUCCUGGCAUCAAUUGUAAUCUCCAAGUCACUCGAUUGUUCUACUUCUAUCUGGUGCUAAACAAUCCCAGCAAUGUCCACAUAAAGUUUCAUUCACACCUUGAGAAUAAUAACCAUUGGAAAUCUG